AAACCCUCUAGAGGAAAUAGGACAGAAAGGUCACACAGAAGCAGUAAAGCCAAUGAUCUCUUAUAAAACAGUUAUUUAGGUUCUCAGUGGCACUGUUCAUCUUCUGGAAGGGAGAUCACUCCAGUCUCUGCCCAUCCCUGUGUCAUCAGCGUAGCUCUGGACUCUUGGAGUAGAAGAAGAAAGCCUAUUCUACCUUGUUGCUGCUGUACACUCAGCUUUCCUCUUGCUGAUGACAUGAUUCCUGUUUGAAUCUGUUGACAAGAUUCUGAAAGCUGAACAGAGAAUUCUGGCACUGCACUGGGUAGGAAAAAGCAUUUCAAGAAAUAGAUAAUAUCAAGGACAUCAGGACACCGGGAGUGGGAGAGAUUGGACUGGGAGACUCAGCAGAGGAGGCUAGUUGAAGAAAACAG
This 410-nucleotide long non-coding RNA is filed under the name Homo sapiens (human). RNAcentral describes it as "non-protein coding lnc-SOX5-5:30". The record is from RNAcentral. Lineage: Eukaryota; Metazoa; Chordata; Mammalia; Primates; Hominidae.